ACUCCUACGGGAGGCAGCAGUGGGGAAUAUUGCACAAUGGGCGCAAGCCUGAUGCAGCAACGCCGUGUGAGUGAAGAAGGUUUUCGGAUCGUAAAACUCUGUCCUAAGGGAGAAACAAAUGACGGUACCUUAGGAGGAAGCCCCGGCUAACUACGUGCCAGCAGCCGCGGUAAUACGUAGGGGGCAAGCGUUAUCCGGAAUCACUGGGCGUAAAGGGUGCGUAGGCGGCUUAGCAAGCCAGGGGUGAAAGGCAUUGGCUCAACCAAUGUAAGCCUUUGGAACUGUUAGGCUUGAGUGCAGGAGAGGUAAGUGGAAUUCCUAGUGUAGAGGUGAAAUUCGUAGAUAUUAGGAGGAACACCAGUGGCGAAGGCGACUUACUGGACUGUAACUGACGCUGAUGCACGAAAGCGUGGGUAGCGAACAGGAUUAGACACCCUGGUAGCACAGAG
RNAcentral lists this ribosomal RNA (449 nucleotides) under uncultured bacterium. Its description in RNAcentral is "bacterial SSU rRNA". It matches the Rfam family "Bacterial small subunit ribosomal RNA", at positions 335 to 799 of the family's 1533-position model. The record is from RNAcentral.